UGGGUGCUAAAGUAUUCUUUUAGAGUAAUCCAAGGCAAUAUCAGUGACAAGGUUUUUUAGACACUAUCUAAAAUAUGGCAGAUGAGUUCGCCAUCAGGAAAAAUGUUUCUCAGGAGACAGGAUCAUAUAUUGGUAGCUCUGAUUUUAUUCAAUCUGCUGGUCAAAAGUAUAGAGAGAGAUGUCUUGUUAUGUGGAAUCCAGCCAUGCCCAUUUGGGGAUGGGGGUGUGGUUUGCUGCAAGGUAUUUCAAUGCAGCAAUGAAUAAAAUACUUCCCCCCCGCCCCCAGGUUUGCAUAAUAUUAUGUAUAGGCAUGCAAACACAGGCUCUACUGCCAUCAAAACUCUUAAUCAAGGGCCUUAUAAAACUCUCCCCACAGACAAAGGAGUUUAGGAAGCAGUUCAUCUCAGCCUGAGCUAGACAUCUACAAUAAGCCAGAUGAACUGGUCCCUUUGCUCCUGGAAGCAGACAGACAACAGCAGACAGAAGAUGGAAUGGUGCUGACUGUGAACAGGAAUAUAAAGAGGUCCCAGGAUGGCUGUCUGUGAAACUUCAGUGAUGACCCCCACCAAGAUUUCAGCGACAUGUGCAGCAGUAUCCUGGCAGUCUUGACUGAAAGAAUGAUCCUGUGUGUUUUAGCUGGAUCUCCUUUGCUACAAUCCAUAACAGAUGCCAUUGGUGUUUUUGUUACUAUCGCUACUUGAUGGCUUUCUCCAACCGCACUUCACAUUCCUGGAGCUGAAAGAUUUGUUCUCUUAGCCACCAAGAAACACUACACUCUUAUUUUGGAGUCUCCCUGCAUUCCAAGAUAGCACUGGCAACAGGGGACACGCAAGGGUCAACAGCUCCUCAUCCAGCAGCACAACCUCAUUCAUUGCAGCAAAGAGGUUUUCAGAGUUUGGGAAUGCCCUGAAGAGUUUUACCUUCUGUGUCCCAAAAUGGAUGUCAUUUGCUCUUUGUUCCUAGGCAACCCAGGGAGACACAGACAGCUGUUGUCAAAUAUUCUGCAACCAAAUUGUCCCUUCUUGGCACUGAAAAAUCUCACUGAGCUCACUGGGGGUCUUGAAUUCAUACUGGGCAUCUUUGAUUGGUUUGUUGAUUGGUAAUGGCAUCUUUGUGCCAUUGCUAGACUAAGGAAAAGCUGGCAGCAGCUUAAAGUGUGGUGUGUAAUGGCAUUUGCAAAAAAUUGUUCCUAAAACACCUUACCUCCUGUAGCAACUGUGAAAAUGAAGGUGAGAAUUUUUAGCCAUAUACACCUUCAGCUGAGUGAAAUUCUGCCCUGGAUUUUGUUUCUGUUAACCUGGUAAAUGAGAUGCACAGUUGUAAAUUAGGUCUGUACUGGGCCAUGGAUAAUAUAAACAAUACUGAGAUUAAAGUGUAAAAAGGAGAGAGCAAGGUGUUUUGGCAAGAUAUUUUCAACUCCUGCAACAUUUUUAUACUAGUACAUCUGAGAUGUGAGGUGUGAAUAGCUGACAUACCCUUGGUCUGAGGAGUUGUCACCAGCUUUCAGGCUUUUUUUUUCUCACAAGUGUCAAACUUUUGCAAAUAACCUAGGCAGCUCCUUUUCAGUCACAGCAUAUAACCCUGGUCAUAUCAGAUGGAAUGACCAUGACACAGUGACAUUUCUAUUUACCCAUUUCCACUACUAGAAAUUAAAGAUCACAUUUCCAAGUUACCUCUGACAAUAUUGUGUUAUUGCUUCCCUGCAAAGAAACGAGACAGAUAAUUUUUCUGUUCCUUUCCAGACCUGCCACUCUAUUUUAAUUUUUUUUACCAACAAAUUUUUCAUUUCCUGUUAAUUUUUAGUCUAAGAUAAAUAGUUUACUCCAGGAGAAGCAGUCUGGCAGUGAUUGUACACACCUAACAGUUUGUUGAAUAAAGACUGGAAACACAUGAUCUAGUAUUCACAU
Long non-coding RNA from Serinus canaria (Common canary), 1907 nucleotides. RefSeq lists it as uncharacterized. NCBI's taxonomy places the organism in Eukaryota, Metazoa, Chordata, Aves, Passeriformes, Fringillidae. The transcript has 4 exons. The record is from RefSeq and is a predicted model, not a curated record.